This 121-nucleotide ribosomal RNA is filed under the name Metallosphaera yellowstonensis. Lineage: Archaea; Thermoproteati; Thermoproteota; Thermoprotei; Sulfolobales; Sulfolobaceae. The record is from RNAcentral.
UCCACCCGGCCAUAGCAGGGGGGCAACACCCGGUCUCAUCUCGAACCCGGAAGUUAAGUCCCCUGCGUUGGCGGUGCGGUGGGAUCCGAAAGGGCCCGCAGCGCCACCAAGCUGGGAUGGA